This 492-nucleotide ribosomal RNA is filed under the name uncultured bacterium. RNAcentral's name for it is "partial 16S ribosomal RNA". It matches the Rfam family "Bacterial small subunit ribosomal RNA", at positions 29 to 507 of the family's 1533-position model. The record is from RNAcentral.
AGUGAACGCUGGCGGUAGGCCUAACACAUGCAAGUCGAACGGCAGCACAGUAAGAGCUUGCUCUUACGGGUGGCGAGUGGCGGACGGGUGAGGAAUACAUCGGAAUCUACUUUUUCGUGGGGGAUAACGUAGGGAAACUUACGCUAAUACCGCAUACGACCUACGGGUGAGAGCAGGGGAUCUUCGGACCUUGCGCGAUUGAAUGAGCCGAUGUCGGAUUAGCUAGUUGGCGGGGUAAAGGCCCACCAAGGCGACGAUCCGUAGCUGGUCUGAGAGGAUGAUCAGCCACACUGGAACUGAGACACGGUCCAGACUCCUACGGGAGGCAGCAGUGGGGAAUAUUGGACAAUGGGCGCAAGCCUGAUCCAGCCAUACCGCGUGGGUGAUGAAGGCCUUCGGGUUGUAAAGCCCUUUUGUUGGGAAAGAAAAGCAGCAGGUUAAUACCCCGCUGUUCUGACGGUACCCAAAGAAUAAGCACCGGCUAACUUCGUG